Molecule: ribosomal RNA, 497 nt
Filed under: uncultured bacterium
Lineage: Bacteria
Description: partial 16S ribosomal RNA
Rfam family: Bacterial small subunit ribosomal RNA
Source: RNAcentral
GACGAACGCUGGCGGCGUGCCUAAUACAUGCAAGUUGAGCGCUGAAGGUUGGUACUUGUACCAACUGGAUGAGCAGCGAACGGGUGAGUAACGCGUGGGGAAUCUGCCUUUGAGCGGGGGACAACAUUUGGAAACGAAUGCUAAUACCGCAUAAAAACUUUAAACACAAGUUUUAAGUUUGAAAGAUGCAAUUGCAUCACUCAAAGAUGAUCCCGCGUUGUAUUAGCUAGUUGGUGAGGUAAAGGCUCACCCAGGCGAUGAUACAUAGCCGACCUGAGAGGGUGAUCGGCCACAUUGGGACUGGGACACGGCCCAAAAUCCUACGGGAGGCAGCAGUAGGGAAUCUUCGGCAAUGGACGAAAGUCUGAACGAGCAACGCCGCGUGAGUGAAGAAGGGUUUCGGAUCGUAAAACUCUGUUGGUAGAGAAGAAAGUUGGUGAGAGUGGAAAGCUCAUCAAGUGACGGUAACUACCCAGAAAGGGACGGCUAACUACGUG